Molecule: ribosomal RNA, 437 nt
Filed under: uncultured beta proteobacterium
Lineage: Bacteria; Pseudomonadati; Pseudomonadota; Betaproteobacteria
Description: bacterial SSU rRNA
Rfam family: Bacterial small subunit ribosomal RNA
Source: RNAcentral
AUCGCAAGACCUCGCGCUAUUGGAGUGGCCGAUGUCCGAUUAGCUAGUUGGUGGGGUAAUGGCCUACCAAGGCGACGAUCGGUAGCUGGUCUGAGAGGAUGAUCAGCCACACUGGGACUGAGACACGGCCCAGACUCCUACGGGAGGCAGCAGUGGGGAAUUUUGGACAAUGGGCGCAAGCCUGAUCCAGCCAUGCCGCGUGAGUGAAGAAGGCCUUCGGGUUGUAAAGCUCUUUCGGCCGGAACGAAAUCGUCCGGGAUAAUACCCCGGAUGGAUGACGGUACCGGAAGAAGAAGCACCGGCUAACUACGUGCCAGCAGCCGCGGUAAUACGUAGGGUGCAGGCGUUAAUCGGAAUUACUGGGCGUAAAGCGUGCGCAGGCGGCUUCCUAAGUCAGAUGUGAAGUCCCCGGGCUUAACCUGGGAACUGCGUUUGAA